UCCCUGGUGGCUGAGAUGGUAAAGCAUCUGUCUACAAUGCAGAAGAUCCGGGUUCGAGCCCUAAGUUGGGAA
Molecule: transfer RNA, 72 nt
Filed under: Bos taurus (domestic cattle)
Lineage: Eukaryota; Metazoa; Chordata; Mammalia; Artiodactyla; Bovidae
Rfam family: tRNA
About the family: Transfer RNA (tRNA) molecules are approximately 80 nucleotides in length.
Source: Rfam by way of RNAcentral